Molecule: long non-coding RNA, 311 nt
Organism: Daphnia magna
Lineage: Eukaryota; Metazoa; Arthropoda; Branchiopoda; Diplostraca; Daphniidae
Exons: 2
Source: RefSeq, a predicted model, not a curated record
CAAAAGUAAUGUAAAAUUCAUAUUUGACUCAACUCAACCAUUUCGUUAACUUGGCCCUAAACAUAUGUAUACACUUCAUGUUUUCAAAAGUUAAGAAUGACCCUUGAGCCAAGAAGCUUUUCCUGCUUUGUGUGGACAGGAAUAUUAAAGGUAUUGAUGUCUGAAACCAACAAGUGUCUUGCAAAGAAAGUAAAAAGAAACAUUGAUGUUGGUCAUCCUCUGAGUGAUGCUGAAGCCUGUUAUCUUAUUGAUCCAUUGGUUCUAUUCAUGGGGAAAAGAAUGUUGUGUGGGAGAAACAUGAUCACGAUUGA